Molecule: non-coding RNA, 144 nt
Organism: Paramuricea clavata
Lineage: Eukaryota; Metazoa; Cnidaria; Anthozoa; Malacalcyonacea; Plexauridae
Source: the annotation of a GenBank genome assembly
AUGAGAGGCAUUCACCCCCCUGAAAAUAUUCAAAAUGGCGGAUAUUCAGGGGGAUGAUUGCCUCUCAUAUUUCGAGUCAUUGUUGGUGCAUUAUUUUACUCACGUUUUCUGAGCCGUCAAAAUGUCCGGCUGAUGUUUUUUGUG